Molecule: long non-coding RNA, 3027 nt
Organism: Falco peregrinus (peregrine falcon)
Lineage: Eukaryota; Metazoa; Chordata; Aves; Falconiformes; Falconidae
Exons: 3
Source: RefSeq, a predicted model, not a curated record
ACGGCCGCCGCUUCAGGCAGCCGCCGCCCCUCCCCGCCCUCCCGCUGGCGUGGGGCCCGGCCCGGCCCGCCGGGAGCUCCGAGGGGGCUGUGCCGCCCCGGCCCGCGCUCCCGCGGCACGCGCACCCCCGCGGGACACCCCGCGCCGUUCACACGCGGGAACGCAGGCUGCCCCCGCGCCCCGGCCCGCGCGUAUCCCGCGUCGCACGUCUCGGGUACUGCUGUCCGUCACGCGCGGCUGCGUCCCGUGCGUGUCAGUUUCGCCCUGAAGCGUGAGGCGCGGAACCGCUCUAAGCUCGGCGCUCCGGCCGUGCAGCCGGGGCUUUCGGGCGGGGCCGCGGGGCUGGGGGCUUCCCCGGCUCCCUGAGGUGCUUUCCAGGCUUUUCUGAGGAUCUGCGGAGGGGUGAAUUGAAGCCGCCUUCUCCCCUUGUCCGCUGUAAAGAGGCGGUGAGGGAAUCGCGUAAUUAACGGCUGUACCCCUCGUCUGGCCGUGCCCUCGCCGGGGUCUGUGCUGGCCUGCGCCGCCGGCGGCGGCCGUGGGCCCGGGGAGGCUGGAGCCCUCACGCCGUCUCGGGACACAGCCUGGAGCUGCCGUUUGAACAAACACUGCUCACGGCUCAGAGAUGCAUACAACCAGUUAUUGGAACAAAGUGUGCUUGGCAUCUGUCAGUUUCUGAGUCAUCUGGGCACUGGGGAGACAGCCAGGAAAGAUCUAGGAAGACAUAUUCAAAUAGUCUUAUCAAACACUAUGCUAAAAAGAGCAACAAGCUCCUGGGACCUGCUAUCAGCCUGCAGUUGAUCUCAGCAGAGCCACCCAUGCAGCAUGGCAAAAAGGAUUCAUAUCCCCACCUGGUACCCACCUGAAGAAGUCCUUGGCUGUGUAAGAAGGCAUUUGUGAAAGAAAUAGGAAUCUCUGAUUGUGCAUUUUUGCUGAUCACAAAUGCAAGUUCAUGAUGCAAGUUCACAGUGGCCAAGUGUGUGAUGGCCACAUCUUCUGCAAUACUAGGCAGUUUAAGCACAGCCAACAAACAUCUUUCCUCCAGCUGACAGGAGCAUCAGCGUCAUCAAGCUAAUCCACACUGUGAGGGAUGAUACAUAUUCCCUGCUGUCCCAAGUCACAUAUUUUACCAGAAUGAUUAUGGAUUACUGCAUGACCUAGCCAUAUACUGUGUUUCUGGCAGGUAGCAGUGGCAUUCUGUCAUGUUGAGUUAACUGCAAAAUAUCCUCCCUUAACAGAUUAACUUGGUAUCAGUAUUUCAAAUGAAGUCUGGAUAAUCACAGCUCGCUGAGUCUUCCUGAAACUCUGAGGAGCCAUCGGGGAGCUGAUACACCUAGCCCAGGUGUCACAGUAUGGAGAUCAGUCAGGCCAUGCUUUUGUACCUGAGACAGACACAGACCAUGGCCUCGGCUCAAGGGAAGGAAGAGUGGUCUGGAAGCCAUCUGUUCCUGUAAAACAUUUGUCUGUCUUAUCAAAUAUGCUCGAAUACUUGUGCCAGAAUGGUCACAAACAUCUUCCUUAGCUGCAAAAAGUACUACCUUGCCUGCCCCAUUUCUUAGUAAUCUGGUCUGUCCUUCUGUCUGCUGGGACUUUAACUGAUAGCACCACCAAAACAGACUGAGACAAAUGCCAAAGCCAUUCCCAAAGGAAUCUUCUUCUAGCUGCAUUUCACACGGUUAUGAUCAGUGUCUCUGUGGUGUGGCCUGUCUUAACCUGAGAUCCUGUUCUUGCCAGAACUGUGUUCCUCAAGAAAUGCUUCCCAUUCCCUGGUGCAAUGCUGUGCAACUCUUUUGCUGCCAGGAACACUGGAGGACUCUAGGUAUCCUCAGGUGUUCCCACAGAAAGAGAAAGGCAACUUUCUGGGAGCUUCUGCACAUGCAGACACUACGCAAUGCAAAAGAAGUCUAGAUGGCUAAAGACAUUUGCAUCUCAAGGUCUUAAGCUGCUUUGAUUUAAAUGUCAUCUAGUAUCUUUAUUCUAUAUGAAAUCUUUCAGAGAGGUAAUGAAAUCUGCUCAGUUUUCACAUAAUCUGGGUAUUCUCAGUGCUAAGUGAAUCUUCACAGUAGCAGAAGUGUUGGCCAAAAUGCAAAAGGUUGUUUUUUUCACAUCAUGGGGCAGCAAAAAACAUCUGGGAGGGUAACUCAUUAUUGCUAUUGUUACUGCUGCUACUACUACUACUAUCAAUAUUAAUAAUAUUAUCAUUACAGCAGCAAUUAUUAUUGUAAUAAAAACCAUAACAAAAAUGAUAAUAAGACUUUGGAAAAUAUUUAUUUCAUGGGUUUUUUGAAAGGAUAUUCCCCAGGAAAAAAUGAAUCAAAAAAGAAACAUCUCUCAAUCUAUGAACAGGUUGAAAAAUGCUUUUUAUGACGAUAAUCCCAUCAUAAUUUUAACUCUUGCAGAUUCAAAAUUACUCUUUUAUAUUAUGCACACAAAUACCAUGUAUAGAAGUAUGACACUUUGCAAACUACACGCUUUCAGGCAUCUGUGGACUUCAAUGGGAUCACAGUUCCUUUCCUGUUGGAAUGCACUAACACCAAGUAAUCCUUAAACGGAUAACUUAAAAUGUCUUACUGGAGCAGGAAACCCUAAGGGAGAAAAUCCAAUACCUGGUAAGUGAUAAAUGAAAUAUCAUACUUUUUGUGGGCAUUUUAAAACAAUUUUUAAAAAAAUCCAGUAAACUUUGGGAUAGAUAAACCAUUUAACACAAACCAGUAAGCAAGCACGAGAUCCAAAAUAAACUAAAUUGUUCCAAAUGUUUUGGCUGGAUGGUAUGGUGGAUUGCGGAGAGCCUGUUCUGUGUGGCAAUACACAGCACCUCAAAAUGGAAGCUGUGGGAGAGAGACAAGGGUGGAGCCAUCACAGGGCAAAAACUGGAGAAUAUGAAGAUACGUAUGAGUUAUCUUUAGAAAGGUCCCAGUUAAUACAUAAGUACAGGCUGAAAUCCAUCACUGCACUAAUGAAGGCAACGCGAUUGUUCCCAGAAAUAUCUUGGACAUCUUCAACUCUGAGCAUGAUGAAAGGAGCACCACA